This 74-nucleotide transfer RNA is filed under the name Bacillota bacterium. RNAcentral describes it as "Firmicutes bacterium (anaerobic digester metagenome) tRNA-Gly". It matches the Rfam family "tRNA". Rfam says of the family: Transfer RNA (tRNA) molecules are approximately 80 nucleotides in length. Their secondary structure includes four short double-helical elements and three loops (D, anti-codon, and T loops). RNAcentral also lists the same sequence under 1 other name. The record is from RNAcentral. Lineage: Bacteria; Bacillati; Bacillota.
GCGGGUGUAGCUCAGUGGCAGAGCCCUGGCUUCCCAAGCCAGUCGUGUGGGUUCGAUUCCCAUCACCCGCUCCA